RNAcentral lists this transfer RNA (72 nucleotides) under Neurospora pannonica FGSC 7221. RNAcentral's name for it is "tRNA-Ile (GAT) (tRNA-Ile-GAT-1-1)". It matches the Rfam family "tRNA". Rfam says of the family: Transfer RNA (tRNA) molecules are approximately 80 nucleotides in length. Their secondary structure includes four short double-helical elements and three loops (D, anti-codon, and T loops). Further hydrogen bonds mediate the characteristic L-shaped molecular structure. tRNAs have two regions of fundamental functional importance: the anti-codon, which is responsible for specific mRNA codon recognition, and the 3' end, to which the tRNAs corresponding amino acid is attached (by aminoacyl-tRNA synthetases). tRNAs cope with the degeneracy of the genetic code in two manners: having more than one tRNA (with a specific anti-codon) for a particular amino acid; and 'wobble' base-pairing, i.e. permitting non-standard base-pairing at the 3rd anti-codon position. The record is from RNAcentral. Lineage: Eukaryota; Fungi; Ascomycota; Sordariomycetes; Sordariales; Sordariaceae.
GGUCCGUUGGUGUAAUGGUCAACAUUACUUGGCUGAUGAUAAAAGUUACCGGUUCGAAUCCGGUACGGGCCA